AUUGAACGCUGGUGGCAGGCCUACCACAUGCAAGUCGAGCGAGCGGCGGCCGGGUGAGUAAUGUCUGGGGACUGCCCGAUAGAGGGGGGUAACUACUGGAAACGGUAGCUACUACUGCAUAUUACCGGAUAACCCAUAUGGGAUUAGCUAGUCGGUGGUGUAAUGGCCCACCUUGUCGACGAUCCCUAGCUGGUCUUAGAGGAUGGUCAGACACAAUGGAAUUGAGACACGGCCCAGACUCCGACGGAGGCAGCAGUGGGGAAUAUGGCACAAUGGGCGCAAGCCUGAUGCAGCCAUGCCGCGUGUAUGAAGAAGGCCCUAGGGUUGUAAAGUACUUUCAGUCGGGAGGCGUUACCGACAGAAGAAGCACCGGCUAACUCCGUGCCAGCAGCCGCGGUAAUUC
RNAcentral lists this ribosomal RNA (403 nucleotides) under uncultured bacterium. RNAcentral describes it as "partial 16S ribosomal RNA". It matches the Rfam family "Bacterial small subunit ribosomal RNA", at positions 30 to 526 of the family's 1533-position model. The record is from RNAcentral.